RNAcentral lists this ribosomal RNA (466 nucleotides) under uncultured bacterium. Its description in RNAcentral is "bacterial SSU rRNA". It matches the Rfam family "Bacterial small subunit ribosomal RNA", at positions 28 to 496 of the family's 1533-position model. The record is from RNAcentral.
GAUGAACGCUGGCGGCGUGCUUAACACAUGCAAGUCGAACGAAGCACUUAAGAUUGAUUCUUCGGAUGACGUCUUUUGUGACUUAGUGGCGGACGGGUGAGUAACGCGUGGGUAACCUGCCUCACACAGGGGGAUAACAGUUAGAAAUGACUGCUAAUACCGCAUAACCCGAUAGGAUCGCAUGAUCCAGACGGAAAAGNUUUAUCGGUGUGAGAUGGACCCGCGUCUGAUUAGCUAGUUGGUGAGGUAACGGCCCACCAAGGCGACGAUCAGUAGCCGGCCUGAGAGGGUGAACGGCCACAUUGGGACUGAGACACGGCCCAAACUCCUACGGGAGCAGCAGUGGGGAAUAUUGCACAAUGGGGGAAACCCUGAUGCAGCGACGCCGCGUGAGUGAAGAAGUAUUCGGUAUGUAAAGCUCUAUCAGCAGGGAAGAAAAUGACGGUACCUGACUAAGAAGCCCCGG